GACGAACGCUGGCGGCGUGCUUAACACAUGCAAGUCGAAUGGAAAGGCCCUGCUUUUGUGGGGUGCUCGAGUGGCGAACGGGUGAGUAACACGUGAGUAACCUGCCCUUGACUUUGGGAUAACUUCAGGAAACUGGGGCUAAUACCGGAUAGGAGCUCCUGCUGCAUGGUGGGGGUUGGAAAGUUUCGGCGGUUGGGGAUGGACUCGCGGCUUAUCAGCUUGUUGGUGGGGUAGUGGCUUACCAAGGCUUUGACGGGUAGCCGGCCUGAGAGGGUGACCGGCCACAUUGGGACUGAGAUACGGCCCAGACUCCUACGGGAGGCAGCAGUGGGGAAUAUUGCACAAUGGGCGGAAGCCUGAUGCAGUAACGCCGCGUGCGGGAUGACGGCCUUCGGGUUGUAAACCGCUUUCGCCUGUGAUGAAGCGUGAGUGACGGUAAUGGGUAAAGAAGCACCGGCUAACUACGUG
RNAcentral lists this ribosomal RNA (468 nucleotides) under uncultured bacterium. RNAcentral's name for it is "partial 16S ribosomal RNA". It matches the Rfam family "Bacterial small subunit ribosomal RNA", at positions 28 to 507 of the family's 1533-position model. The record is from RNAcentral.